CUUCCUGCGUUGGCUGCGCGCCGAGGCCGCUGCCUUCGGCGCGCGCGAGCGCGAGUCGGCGCCGGCCGGCUGGACCAUGCAGUGGCACAGGUACGACCCGGAGCCGCCGCGGCCAGCGCCCCUGGCGGCCACCGCCGCAACCGCAACCGCCGCCCCGUCCCGCUCCCGCCCCGCUGCCGUGUUCACCGCUCGCAGCUGUGGGGCACGGAGUGUCAGGAGAGCCGCCGGGACCCGGCGCUGGGUGCAGACCGAAUGGGGGUCGUCCUCGGGUGGAACGGAGUGUGUCUGGCUACGUGUGUUGGAUGAGGGUGACGGGCUGUUCAAUGGUGAUGCGGCUCCUCUCACGCUGCUGCCUUCAAAAAGUCCUUCUGAUGAAUGUGUGUCAUUUCUGCUGAGUAAUAAAGUGCCGCCGCAUGAUAUGGAUGUUGGCAGGGAUACAUGGAGUUUAUAUAUAUAUAUAUAUAUAUAUAUAUAUAUAUAUAUAUAUAUAGAGUUCGGUAUAUCAUCAUCAAGUUGUUGACAUGUGUGUUUAUGAGUAUUGCUUCAAGACCCUGCGAUUGCCGCGUGUUCCCCGUGUGCGCGUGUUUCAGUACGCAACAUUGUUGGGAAACGAUGGUGUCAUACGAAAACCCAGUACAGCAGGAUGUUUCAUUGCUCUGGAACAUGGCAAAACGCUGUGAAUGGGAUGUUGGAAAUCUUGCCUUGAAUUCCGUAGCAAUUAUAAGUUCAUCUUGUCAGCCAGCCAACAAGGCGUUCUAUGCACCCAUUGUUCAUCCAGGGCGCAAAAUGAUCUUAGUAGUCGGAGCGCCCUUAAACCUUAAUGAUCACCACCAUCAUCGAUGCUCGUCCAGCAAGAGCCGCGCCACUAGCCUGAGCAUUAUUGAGAGCGAGUGCGGCGCGCCGUGGGAGGUCGUCCAGGUCACGUGGGGCGCCAUCUGAGCGGUGGCUGGCGCCGCGCGCCCUCGCUCCUGUGCGGAUGAGGUUAGAUAGUCACGCACCUCGACCACCGACCGGCUGUUCUCCCCAGCUACGCUGUCGCCCUCCCUGACACGGGAGCAGAAGCGCUACACCUACACCAACACGCAGACGGGAGCCACGCUCGCCAGCUACCCGGACCUGGCGGCCGACACCGAAGCGGCCGGUCCGGCCCCGCAGCCCGGAGCUGAGCCGCCACCGGAGCCCGCGCAGCCGCUGGUGGAGGGCGUGCCGUUCGGUCCGGAGCCGUCUCAGGCGGUGACCGCUCCGCUUCCGCCUCCGC
Molecule: long non-coding RNA, 1258 nt
Organism: Pollicipes pollicipes
Lineage: Eukaryota; Metazoa; Arthropoda; Thecostraca; Pollicipedomorpha; Pollicipedidae
Exons: 3
Source: RefSeq, a predicted model, not a curated record